CGGGACGGGUGAGUAAUGUCUGGGAAACUGCCUGAUGGAGGGGGAUAACUACUGGAAACGGUAGCUAAUACCGCAUAACGUCGCAAGACCAAAGAGGGGGACCUUCGGGCCUCUUGCCAUCGGAUGUGCCCAGAUGGGAUUAGCUAGUAGGCGGGGUAACGGCUCACCUAGGCGACGAUCCCUAGCUGGUCUGAGAGGAUGACCAGCCACACUGGAACUGAGACACGGUCCAG
This 233-nucleotide ribosomal RNA is filed under the name uncultured bacterium. Its description in RNAcentral is "partial 16S ribosomal RNA". It matches the Rfam family "Bacterial small subunit ribosomal RNA", at positions 100 to 334 of the family's 1533-position model. The record is from RNAcentral.